Molecule: transfer RNA, 90 nt
Filed under: uncultured marine phage
Description: tRNA-Asn
Rfam family: tRNA
About the family: Transfer RNA (tRNA) molecules are approximately 80 nucleotides in length. Their secondary structure includes four short double-helical elements and three loops (D, anti-codon, and T loops).
Source: RNAcentral
UCUGGUGUAGCUGAUUUGGUUUAGCUGGUGACUGUUAAUCACUGAAUGAAAAUAUUGAAAUAAAGUAGGUUCGACCCCUACCUCCAGAGC